This 262-nucleotide ribosomal RNA is filed under the name Rhizophagus irregularis. The record is from RNAcentral. Lineage: Eukaryota; Fungi; Glomeromycota; Glomeromycetes; Glomerales; Glomeraceae.
CAGUCGUACCGGCGGGUAAUCAGCCUUUCGGGUACGAUUCUGUGGAGCGUGAGGAGUUAAACGCCUUCGUGCCUGCAUAUUCGUGUACUUUGGGUGUGCUUGCCUGUGUGGUUAGUUAACAUCAAUUUUGGUUAUCAUAAAAUGGUUGGAGGAAUGUAGCUUCGAUCUCGUAUUGAAGUGUCAUAGCCUUCGGCAGAUGUGAUGAUCGAGAUUGAGGAUUGCAACGGAUACCCGUUCGGGCUACCUGUCUGACUCUCUGAUC